Molecule: ribosomal RNA, 1728 nt
Filed under: Triticum aestivum (bread wheat)
Lineage: Eukaryota; Viridiplantae; Streptophyta; Magnoliopsida; Poales; Poaceae
Description: partial small subunit ribosomal RNA
Source: RNAcentral
AUGCUCUGCGGGCUGGAUGAGGCGCUGGGCGGAGGUAUCCCCCUGGGCAAGCACACAGAGGUCGUCGGGCCCUCGGGGAUCGGCAAGACGCAGGCGCCGGAGGGGUAUGCGCUCGUGAGAUUUGAUCUGGCCGCUGCUUCGUCGUUAAAGGUGGAUUGGGGGGUGAUCGACGAGGGCUACUACGGCCAGAUGGGAGUCGUGCUCUUCAACUACUCGGAGGCAGACUUCACUGUGAAGCCCCGCGACCGCGUCAUGCAGAUUAUCUUCCAGGUGAUUGCGACACAGGAGGUCCUCGGGGUGGAGGACCUCGACGCCACCGUUUGGAGGUCACCGAGGUGGAGGACGACUCCACCGUUCGGAGUUCCUCAAGGUGGAGGACCUCGACGCUUUGUACAUACAUCUAGAGAAGUGGUCUGGGAUGCCUCCCCGUCUAGGUUGCUACAUCCGCUCGUCGAUGAUUUGCCGUGUCCUGUUAUUCAAUAUGCAGAUGACACUCUGGUAUUGGUCCGUGCUGAACAGGGGCAGCUCGUGCGGCUCAAGUCUAUUCUGGAUACAUUCUCUGCCGCUACGGGGCUGCCUAUCAACUUCCACAAAAGCACCUUCGUUCCAGUUGGCAUUGACCCCGCCCGUGCCACUCUCCUAGCUGCGGGGCUUGGUUGCCCGCUGUCAGUGUUCCCACAGACAUACCUCGGCCUACCUCUCUCCGAUGCGAAGCUGCCCGCUAGCGCCCUGGACUUUUUGCCGAUCAAGAUCGAGCGGCGCAUCCUCGGGUGGCGCACCCGUUUCCUCGACCAGGGGGGGGGGCGUUUGACACUCACCUCUACGGUACUCUCUGCAAUCCCUACUCAUGCCAUGUCGGUGCUCCCCCUCUCUAAAGGCACUGUGGCCAAGAUGGACCGCCCUCGUAGGGCCAUGUUCUGGAAAGGGGCGAGUGAGUGCUCAGGAGGUGAUUGCCAGGUUGCCUGGCAGGACGCCUGUCGGCUCCGCUCAGAAGGGGGGCUUGGCUUGGUGGAUAUUGGCGCCCAGAAUACAUGCCUCCUUCUAAAGAUGGUUCAUAAAAUCUUCAGUGGUGUGCUUAACCCGUGGACUGUCUGGGUCCGCCCUUGGUACAUGGGUGAUCAUCCGGCGCUCCCGACCCCCACCUGGAGAGCCUUUGCCUCCCUUGUCCUGCUAUACCGUUCACUUACAUCAAUGAGGGUUAGCAACGGCGAGCACACCUCCCUCUGGCAUGACAACUGGACCUCGCUGGGUCAUUUGGCGGCUGCUCUCCCCGCAGCUUAUUCACACUGCCUCCGCCCCGAAGCAACCCUGGGGGACUUUGGUCGGUUUGGUGCUAAUGCAGUCCCCAUGCACGAUCGUUUGUCCAGAACUGCAGGAUUGGAACUUCGCCUGCUUCGAUCGGCCCUCGAUCGUGUCCAGUUCUCUGAGGUGGGUGACGAGCGAAUCCUAGCUUGGGGUGAGUGUCUUCAGUUCAAGGCGAGCGUGGUGUACCGUAUGAUCAAGCUUUCUGGAUGUGAGCUCCCCCUACAUGACCUCAACUGGGAUGGCUUCAUGCCCUUCAAGGUCAAGGUGUUUGUCUGGGUUCUGCGACAUGGUAACACUCGUGAAGGAGGAAAAAAGGAUGGAACUACAACAGGGCGCAAAGCUGCUGGAACGAGUCGCCACCAAUUCUCCCGGGAAGAAGAAGAUUUGGACACGCGUGAGUGCGUGGACAAGGACAAUGCAUGA